GUACAAACUCAGUGAAUGACUGCAGCUAUUUCAGAGCUUAAAAAAUUUUUUUGGUAAACUUUGGCUAAAUUUGGAAAGCAUAUUGAGUUUGAAUGUAAGAAAAAAAAUGAUAUGAAGAACUACAGAGGAAGAUAUUCCAGUAAUAUAUGCCUGAGACUUGUGGAAACAUUAAAUAAGUAGUGAAAAAAAAGACUGUAAGGCUUCUCUUUUGCCUCAUGUUUAGAAAUGCAAUAUCCUAGUAAUUGAAGGUUGUGAUUAACUGAACAUUUGGUAUAUACAGGGAAACAAUUGAAUUCUAAGUAAUUAAUCUAAUUUUUCUGCAUUCCACUUUGACUUAGGAAACAAGUCUUAAAAAUUGUACUCCAGGAGAUUUUCCAGCUGUCAGGAUAUUCAGCUUUUCUAUUCAUAUGCUCUCUUGCUUCUCAUACAUCUAAAACAUACAUCCAGAGUAUACAAAGUAUGAGACCAUAUUAAUUGAACAGACAAUUUAGCACAGUCAUUAAGACAAUGAGCUCUGGCACCAAAAUGCUUAGAUUUUUACUCCUACCUGGCUUUACCUCUUAAUAGCUAUAUGACCUUGAGCAGGUACUUAACCUCUGUUCUAUAAAAAUGAUGAAAAUAAUACUUAAUGGGGUGUUAUGAGAAUGUAGUGAGUUAGUACAUGAGAAGUUCCUGGAAGGCAUCUGGCACAUUUAAUGCAUACACACACACACACACACACACACACACACACACACACACAUGUUUUAACUGCCAUUGAUUUGGUCAGCAUUGCCCCCUAGCACAGGCCCAUAUUUAAUCACCAAAGCAAGAUUGUUUCUGAUGAGCACACACCAUGUUUUCUCACAGGAAAUAGUUCCACAUGUGGAAGAGUCUAAACAAUGAGAGUUCAACUCUCAGAAAUCUUGGCUAAUCCUUAACUUACCGGAAUAUUAUUCAUAGAACAGUAUUUCUCAAGUUAAGAUUAAUCAAUGAGGUAAUUUGGCAGUGAUCAGUUUUCAAAGAUUUAAAGUAACUUUACCACUCCCAUACUGUUUAUAAACAUUAUUUUCUCUUUUACUUGGGAAGCAGUUCAGUAUCUUACAAUGUUUUGGCAUCAUAAAUGCAAUUUAGCAUUUUGCAAUGCAAUAAAUAUAUAAAGUUAUACAAAAUUAGACUGCAUGAGUAUUUAUCCUAAGGAGAAAGUAUGAAUUAAAGGCUUCAGUUUUUUGGUGUCUGAGUAGAAUACAGGAGGUCUUACGUUGUCCCACGUUGUCUCUUAAGGUUGGGAUAGGAAGUGCUCGCUUUCACACUAAGUGACCCUCGGUCUGACUAGCUGGACUACUUGGUUAGGAUCAAAAAAAGUCCACAUUAUUAAGAGAAAUAACACACUCUUGAAAAAGACUGAGGGAAAAACCAUCUUUCCAGUGUAGGCUACUAACCUACGAAAGAAUAGAGCAGCUCCUUACAGCUAGGAAAUGAGAAAGUCAAGAAGGGAGAAAAAAAUUAAGAAGAAAGGCAGAGGUGAUGAGUGGCAGAGAGAAAAUGAAAGCAAAAGACGAGAAGAGAACUAACAAAAACAUUUGUAUUGCUCUGUCAUGUCUUGCACAUUGUCCUUGUUCAUCUUCAGACCUGUCAGAUUGGCAAUCUAGGUCUUACAGCCAAGUUACCUAAAGAAAGAAUUGGAUUUUAUUAAUUUGGCAAGUAACGAACACAAAUAUUCUGUGCCAAGUAUCGGAGAUAUAAUUAAACAACUGUCCCUGACCUCAUAGAGUUUCCAUUUUACUUCAAAGAAAUUCAGGGAUUUGUAAAUGACUGGUAAAUAAAAAAACAAGAUCUAGACCUUUGUUCUAAACCCCUGUUCUUUUCCCUCUGUGCUGUUCAGACAGGUUGCAGCCAUAUUUCAAAUAGUUCUGCAAGAGAAUUGAAUCCCAAUAAUCUGUGUUUCAGGAUUCAGAAUAAAUUAUUGCUUCCCUUUUAAGUUUUUUUUUUAUCUAAUUAAACACUAUUAAACAUUGUGUUUUCUCAUGUUAGAAUCUUCAAGUUUCAUAGCAUCCAAUUUCUGCCUCCCUCUUGUCUGAGACAACAUGAAGUAAAGGUAAAUUGAAUUGAAAGCUUUCCACUCUCCUGUUGGAAAGGCAAUCCUCAUUCUAAGACUCUUAGGAAACAGUGCACUAGGUUUAAAUUUCAACAAAGCAUUUUUCAGAAUCUUAUGGUGUUCUUUUGAAUAUGGAAAUUUGAGCUGAAUGAUGGUACUGUUAAUUGAUGUCAUGUAUUUGUCAAGUAUUAAGUGCAAAUCAGGUGCUGGGAACUGGUAACACAUGUUAAAAAAGCAAGGACUCUGACCUCAAGAUGUUUAAACGUAAAACAAUGCAGUAAGAAAACUGCUCUAAAAAGUCCUAUGUGCAAAGGGUGGAGGAAACAUGAAAGUUUCUAGUCUAUUCAAAGGGUCACCAGUAAUGCAUCGGGACCCUUCCUGGGAUUUGAAUGAGAACAUUUGAUUUAAACAAGCUCAUUGAAUUUAUAUAGAACAUGAAGCUGACAAGGAUACCUAAUGCUUUGAUGAUAAACUGCAUUUAACAAGUAUUUAUUAAGCACCUAUUGUUUGCCAGACACUGUACUUAGAAUUGAACUAUUCUUUGAUAGAUCGGAUUAAUGGACCAAGUUGAACAAGCUAAAAAUUAAUAAAGUCUUGAAAUGAUAGACUGCUAAAGCUAGAAGAGACAAUUGUGACUUAUAGUUUUUAGUCACCUGGAUGUUCACCAUGAGUCAGUGCAAUGAUUAACUGCCAAAUUCAAUGCUGUCCUGUAGAAAUACAAUGUGAGCCACAAGUAUAUAAAUUUAAGUGUUAUAGCAAACGCAUUAAAAGUAAAAACCAGGUGAAAUUAAUUUUAAUGUUUUUUUUAACCCAUUGUAUCCAAAAUAUUUCAUGUGUGACCAAUAUGAGAAAUUAAUGAGGGGCUCCUGGGUGGCUCAGUCAGCUAAGCAUCUGGUUUCAGCUCAGGGCAUGAUCUCGCAGUUUGUGAGUUCAAGCCCUUCAUCAGGCUCUGUGCUGACAGCUCAGAACCUGGAGCCUGCUUCACACUCUGUGUCUCCCUCUCUCUCUGCCCUCCCUGGCUCACGCUCUGCCUCUCUCUCUCAAAAGUAAACAUUAAAAAAAAUUUUUUUAAUUUAUGAGAUAUUUUGUAUUGGUGUGGAUUUUGCACUUUAUAAAAUAUACACGGUUUUGAACUAGCUGUAUUUCAGGUGCUUAAUCACCCCAUGUGACUGGUGGCUACCAUGCUGGACAGUAUAGCUCUAUAUUCUCCUGUAUAAAUUCACAGGUUGUUUCAUGUUUACUUCAGUUCUCAGCAGUGUAUAUUAUGAUGCAAAGCAGAUGAUGUAUUCGAAGACAGAUUUCAGAAUGCUAUUAAAAUGUUUGAAACCAUCAUGUGAAAGAGGGAUUAGCCUCAGAAUGGUAGAUGUAUUUUGUGUAACUUGUCAAUUCUGAGUUGAGUUGUGGCUUAAUAGCGCUUUAAGACCGAUGCUGAAUCUGCUCUUUGAGUGCAUUCACCUAAGGAGAGAUCAGCUGUGGCCAGACACUUGCCGUCACUGAAGUAGACUUAAUCCAUAUGGUUCCAGAAGGCAGGAGCACUGAAUAGAAUUUACAUGGGAACAGAGUUAGGUUUAACGUUAAAGAGAACUCUUCUAAUCAGAACUACCCCUGAGUUGAAUAAGCUCCCCCCAAGAAGUAGCUAAUUUCCUGUCACCGAAUGUGCAGAGAAGGGUUGUGCAAACUGUCUUCAGAUGUUCUAUAAAUUCAAGUGUGAGAUGAAAGAAGUGGACUAGGUAAACUUUUACAGCCUCAUCUGACUAAAAUUCUGUGUUUGGCCUUAAAUGGGUGUGGUGGGAAGGCCUACCAAUUUCAAACCCUUAGAAUAGCCCUUUCAGUCAACCUGGCUUUGUCCCAACCUCAAAUACGCCAGAGCCUUAUAUAAUGAUUUGUACUGUAGCAAGUUUUCCAAAGUGUCUUAAUUUCCUUCCUAUACAAUACUGCCUACACCCCAAACUAAACCUAAAAUAACAUUCGUCUCUGCCUAUACCACACACACACCCUAGCCUUUUAGCUGGCUCCAUGGCAGACAUUGCUGCCAGGAAAAAAGGUUUCACUGGUAAUACAUAAAGCUCAGGGUAUACAGUCCCUGGGUUUCUUUAUCUCCACCGGCCACCCAAUAACUCCAUAUAUACUAUGGGUAACAAAUUAUAGAACCCAAUUGUCAACACUGUUGUUACAGUCGCAAAGUAAAGUGUGUUUUGAUGGUGAAACUUCAUUUUUAGAAGAUUGAUUUGUCCAGUGUGGAAAAAUAGAUGUAACCCAAACUAUGAAGUCAGCUAUGAUUAGGCUCUUAACCUUAUUUUAAAAUUGCUUAGUGGUUGCUGCCUUGGCAUAUCUGGCUGUUAGCUAUACAGUUAUUAUACACACAGAUUAUGAAGUAAUAAAAGUUGACAGUGUUUUUCUUUCCUUGAUAAGUACAUUUCUAUCUCCUUUUUUUCAUUUAUGGAAAAACUUUUUGUUGUUAACUCUAAGUUCAUCUGAAAUUUAAAGUUAUUUUCAAGGGGCAUCUGAAUUAUUUAGAGAAAACCCUGUGUAAUGUAUCUGUGAAAUGGCUUUGCUAAGAAUCCCAAAGGCUAUCCUGGAAAAAAUCUACACAUCCAAUAGGAUUCACUUUAAGUACACACUCUAAAACUUUGCAUUUAUUUUUUUUUUUUAUGUUUAUUUAUUUUUGAGACAGAGACAGAGCAUGAAUGGGGGAGGGUCAGAGAGAGGGAGACACAGAAUCUGAAGCAGGCUCCAGGCUCUGAGCUGUCAGCACAGAGCCUGAUGCGGGGCUUGAACUCAUGGACUGUGAGAUCAUGACCUGGGCCGAAGUCGGAUGCUUAACUGACUGAGCCACCCAGGCGUCCCUGAAACUUUGCAUUUAGAUUCAGGAUGAAUGGAGUUCUUAGAACAGGCCUUUAGGUAAUAUUCCUAUCUAUGUAGACAUAUGUAUUCAUUAAAUAACAAGUUUCACCUGCUCUGGAUUUUUUUGCCUUGAUGAUGUUAGAAUUUUAUAAAAUUAUAAAAGAAUUAUAAAGGAUAACUUACAAAAGGUAACUACAGCCAUUUAAUACAGAGGAUUCCUUGGGCAAAUUUGUCACGAAAAAUUUUGCUGGAGUCUCUAGACCAGUUAGGGUAUUGAUUUAAAUAACAAGACAAGGAUUUACUUAUUUUUAAAUCACAAUAUUUUAAGCCUAUAAAAAGUAUUUUAAAAUAUGUAUUAUCUAUAAAAAGUAUAAAGAAUAAUAAAAUAGGGGCACCUGGAUGACUCAGUCACUUGAGCAUCCAGCACUUGAUUUCAGCUCAGGUCAUGAUCUCAUGGUGAGGCUGGGCCCCGCAUAGGGGCUAUCAGUGCAAAGCCUGCAUGGGAUUCUCUCUCCCUCUCUCUCUGCCCCUCACCCCUUCUCAAAAUAAACAAAUAUUUUAAAAAAGAAGAAGAAGAAAAUAUGUUCCUGUAUACCCACAACCUGGCUUAAGCAAUGGAACAUUAGCAAUUCCCUCAAAGCCCUCUGGGUGUUCUCCCCUUACGGCCUUUCCUUCUCACCCCCAAGAGUCUGAAAUUUUAUGUUGGGGAUUCUUUGUUUUCUUUAUAGAAUUACCAUAUAUGUAGGUGUUACAAAUCAGUAUAUUGUAUUUCAUGUUUUAACCUUUGUUUUAAUGAAAUUAUUCUGUAUUCUGUUCUUCUAUAGUAUGUUGCUCUUACCAUUGUAUUUGUUAGAUUCCUCCAUGUCAAAGUUCAUUUAUUUCCAUUCUUAUAUGAUACACAAAUAUACCAUGAUUAAUCUA
Molecule: long non-coding RNA, 5842 nt
Organism: Neofelis nebulosa (Clouded leopard)
Lineage: Eukaryota; Metazoa; Chordata; Mammalia; Carnivora; Felidae
Exons: 2
Source: RefSeq, a predicted model, not a curated record